RNAcentral lists this ribosomal RNA (430 nucleotides) under Pseudomonadota bacterium. RNAcentral describes it as "Proteobacteria bacterium partial 16S ribosomal RNA". It matches the Rfam family "Bacterial small subunit ribosomal RNA", at positions 355 to 776 of the family's 1533-position model. Lineage: Bacteria; Pseudomonadati; Pseudomonadota. The record is from RNAcentral.
UGGGGAAUAUUGGACAAUGGGGGGAACCCUGAUCCAGCCAUGCCGCGUGUGUGAAGAAGGCCUUAUGGUUGUAAAGCACUUUAAGCGAGGAGGAGGGUACUGGUAUUAAUACUACCAGGUACUGGACGUUACUCGCAGAAUAAGCACCGGCUAACUCUGUGCCAGCAGCCGCGGUAAUACAGAGGGUGCGAGCGUUAAUCGGAUUUACUGGGCGUAAAGCGUGCGUAGGCGGCUAAUUGAGUCGGAUGUGAAAUCCCCGAGCUUAACUUGGGAAUUGCAUUCGAUACUGGUUAGCUAGAGUGUGGGAGAGGAUGGUAGAAUUCCAGGUGUAGCGGUGAAAUACGUAGAGAUCUGGAGGAAUACCGAUGGCGAAGGCAGCCAUCUGGCCUAACACUGACGCUGAGGUACGAAAGCAUGGGGAGCAAACAGG